UUUCCGUAGGUGAACCUGCGGAAGGAUCAUUAAAAAUGAAGCCGGGAAACCGGUCCUUCUCACCCUUGAUUAUCUCAAAUUGUUGCUUUGGUGGGCCGCGCAAGCACCGGCUUCGGCUGGAUCGUGCCCGCCAGAGGACCACAACUCUGUAUUAUAUGUCGUCUGAGUACUAUAAAAUAGUUAAAACUUUCAACAACGGAUCUCUUGGUUCUGGCAUCGAUGAAGCGCAGC
RNAcentral lists this unclassified non-coding RNA (231 nucleotides) under plant metagenome. RNAcentral's name for it is "partial contains small subunit ribosomal RNA, internal transcribed spacer 1, and 5.8S ribosomal RNA". The record is from RNAcentral.